UGGGGAAUAUUGGACAAUGGGCGCAAGCCUGACCCAGCCAUGCCGCGUGAGUGAUGAAGGCCUUAGGGUUGUAAAGCUCUUUCACCGAUGAAGAUAAUGACGGUAGUCGGAGAAGAAGCCCCGGCUAACUUCGUGCCAGCAGCCGCGGUAAUACGAAGGGGGCUAGCGUUGUUCGGAAUUACUGGGCGUAAAGCGCAUGUAGGCGGAUAUUUAAGUCAGGGGUGAAAUCCCAGAGCUCAACUCUGGAACUGCCUUUGAUACUGGAUAUCUUGAGUAUGGAAGAGGUAAGUGGAAUUCCGAGUGUAGAGGUGAAAUUCGUAGAUAUUCGGAGGAACACCAGUGGCGAAGGCGGCUUACUGGUCCAUUACUGACGCUGAGGUGCGAAAGCGUGGGGAGCAAACA
Molecule: ribosomal RNA, 402 nt
Filed under: uncultured bacterium
Lineage: Bacteria
Description: partial 16S ribosomal RNA
Rfam family: Bacterial small subunit ribosomal RNA
Source: RNAcentral